AGAUCGUGGUUUUGUAUCGUUUAUCGCCAAUGUUUGACCGUCCAUCUUAUUUUAAAAAAAUUAUGAUUAGUAUUUCUGUUGUUAUUAGAUGAUAAAACAUAAAUAAUACUUUAUGUGUGACUAUUUUCUUAAAAAAAUUUCUUUAAAAAAUUUUCAAAUAAGAUAAACGGGGAUACGGAAACUUACAACUGUACUAGGA
Molecule: microRNA precursor, 199 nt
Organism: Oryza sativa Japonica Group (Japanese rice)
Lineage: Eukaryota; Viridiplantae; Streptophyta; Magnoliopsida; Poales; Poaceae
Rfam family: MIR812 microRNA precursor family
Source: Rfam